GAAGGCUGACCUGGAUGGGCUACCUCAGCAGAUCGCAAAGCGUGCCCAAACCCCUGAGCCUCCUCAAGACUUUGGCACCAGAGAAGCUCUGCGCCCAGAUACACUGUCUCUGGUCUCCAGUGGUUGUGGAAUCUGGGAAGAGGUGCAGAAAUGGCGCGCAAGAGCAGCUGCAUCUGGGAUUCAGUGUCCUCUUCGCUCUGCAUUGACUGCACCCUCACCCCCUCCCCCAUGAUGUAAAGCAAGCAUGAUGAAGCCAUUUUGCUGGUAGUGAUUAUAGAAGACAGUGACAUCAAAGAGGCUCUGUCUGAAUUUGGAAGCCCAAACACAAAAGAAAACCAAACUGAAACAAGAGAAGGAAACUUCUAUAGCAUUAAAAACCUGGAAAUGCC
This 389-nucleotide long non-coding RNA is filed under the name Mustela putorius furo (domestic ferret). RNAcentral's name for it is "lncRNA (ENSMPUG00000026917.1)". Lineage: Eukaryota; Metazoa; Chordata; Mammalia; Carnivora; Mustelidae. The record is from RNAcentral.